This is a long non-coding RNA of Dermochelys coriacea (leatherback sea turtle), 1671 nucleotides long. RefSeq lists it as uncharacterized. The record is from RefSeq and is a predicted model, not a curated record. Lineage: Eukaryota; Metazoa; Chordata; Testudines; Dermochelyidae. The transcript is spliced from 3 exons.
GAACAAACUAAACCAUGUCUAUUAAUUGCUCCACAGGUGAAUGAUGUACCAGGUAUUCCAGCAAAUGCAGCCUGCCCAGCUUCAUCCUGAUAUUUCAUUCAUGUAAAUGAGCUUUACUGAGCAGUUACAGUAAAACUCAAAAGACUCUCCACAUGACUGGCUAAGAACAAGACCAGAGGGACCUUUAUCAUCCGGAUACAAGUUAUGAAAUAAUGAAACAAGUGGACUGCUUUCAAAACCGUUGGUUUAUACAAGGUCUGGUAGCUGGAGUGGAGAAAAAAGUCUGCAAGCACAGAAGAGUUUCAGCAUGGACAUUUUAUGUACUUUCUAGUACUUCACCACAUAAAGGUCCAGACUGUGCCUCAAAGCCACAGCCUGCGUUGGAGGGAAGGAUGGAGCAUACCGUAAGCAACAGCCCUAAGGAGGAAUUUUAUUGAGUCAUCCGGAUUUCCUGCUGGGGUGCAAGUACAGUAGUGGCAGAUGUGCCACUCCAGGAGACAGUGCAGCAUGCACUCUGCUCUACCUCUGCAACUUUGUAAACUGAUGUGAAGAAAGGGUGGGGCCAUGGCUUCAUUCUCAUCCUGCCCCUCCCAGGGAGGUUAGGAUACUAGCAAGUAUGCAUUUUUCAGCUACACUAUUGCUGGCCCCUACACAGGAACUGAAUGUUGGGGAAGAUAAUUAUGCAGGCUCAGCAAAGAGCCCGAAGACUGAAUGGACCACGCAGACUUAACUACCUUCUUGCCUUAGAGAUGUCCCUUCCAGGUGAGGGUGGAAACACACUGGCAUUUGUGCAGCAGUGUUGGAAACUAGCAUUACUGCUGUGUGUGUCCUGUGGUUGAGUAGUGGACUUCAGUUUUUGUGGCUGCCCAUCUGAAUCAAUUCACUCAGCAAUAAAUACAUGCAAAUUUAUAUUAAAAAAAUUAAAAACUGGCAAUGUGUAAUAAUUGUUGCAGCACUGAUCAAAUAACCAGGACAUUCUGGGCCAGAUCUUCAGCUGGUAUAAAUCAGCAUAGUUCCAUUGUCAUCAAGGUUCUCAAGAUUAGGUUUAAGCUUCACUAUGGGUUUGGAUUUAUUUUCCUGCUGAACUGUGCAAACUAAGGACACCAAUUAAGUUUCCUGGCUUUUGUUGGCUGUUUCAAAAUGUUAUUUAAAUGUAGUUUUAUUUUGUUUUUAAUAUUUCUAAAGUUUAUACCAACUAUGGCAAAGUUUCUGUCUUGUAUAAGUCUAUUUCAGUUGUUAUUGAAACUUCAGACUCUUUCUGUUUAGGUAAAAAGAUCUGGGCAUAUUUUGCAAUGCCAAAUUCAGCCAGUUAAACAGCUGUAAGAUUAAACACGGACAUGAUUUACUUCAUAAUUGUAUCUUGUCCUGUAACUGUAUUGUACUGCUGGAUUUACUCUGCAAUGUCUUUAAGCUUCCCCAUGGAUAUAUACACAAUGUAAACACACUGUCAAGAUUAACUGAGAUGGACCAAUUGUCCUCUAAAAAUACAUUUAAUGAAUGAGAAAUAAAUAGUAGGAUAGUGGCUAGUAAAAACUGCACAAUGUGGAUUUAUUAAAGUGCAACAAAAAUCAUAAAAUUAAAAUCACAUCAAUAAAUAAAUAAUUAAAAGAAGAAUUCACAAUGAAAUGUUGUAGAGUAAGAUUCUAGGCUAACCAAGAAAUUUGAAGCUUA